CCAAAGGCUCUUUUAAGAGCCGCACACUUCAACUGUAAAAGAGCUG
Taeniopygia guttata (zebra finch) is the source of this 46-nucleotide non-coding RNA. Lineage: Eukaryota; Metazoa; Chordata; Aves; Passeriformes; Estrildidae. The record is from Rfam.